RNAcentral lists this ribosomal RNA (396 nucleotides) under uncultured bacterium. RNAcentral describes it as "partial 16S ribosomal RNA". It matches the Rfam family "Bacterial small subunit ribosomal RNA", at positions 523 to 918 of the family's 1533-position model. The record is from RNAcentral.
AUACGUAGGGGGCGAGCGUUGUCCGGAAUGAUUGGGCGUAAAGGGCGCGUAGGCGGCCCGGUAAGUCUGGAGUGAAAGUCCUGUUUUUAAGAUGGGAAUUGCUUUGGAUACUGUCGGGCUUGAGUGCAGGAGAGGUAAGUGGAAUUCCCAGUGUAGCGGUGAAAUGCGUAGAGAUUGGGAGGAACACCAGUGGCGAAGGCGACUUACUGGACUGUAACUGACGCUGAGGCGCGAAAGUGUGGGGAGCAAAUAGGAUUAGAGACCCUGGUUGUCCACGCUGUAAACGAUGAUGACUAGGUGUGGGGGGACUGAACCCUUCCGUGCCGCAGUUAACACAAUAAGUCAUCCACCUGGGGAGUACGGCCGCAAGGUUGAAACUCAAAGGAAUUGACGGGG